CGAACCCUCAAGCACGGCUUGUGUGUUGGGCCGCCGUCCCCCCGUUGCAGGGGGGGGGGGACGGGCCUGAAAGGCAGCGGCGGCGUCGCGUCCGGUCCUCGAGCGUAUGGGGCUCUGUCACGCGCUCAAGGAGGGGUCCGGCCGGGGCCAUAGCCUCAAAGGUCAGACUUUUUUCCAA
This 178-nucleotide unclassified non-coding RNA is filed under the name Thermomyces dupontii. RNAcentral describes it as "partial internal transcribed spacer 2". The record is from RNAcentral. Lineage: Eukaryota; Fungi; Ascomycota; Eurotiomycetes; Eurotiales; Trichocomaceae.